RNAcentral lists this long non-coding RNA (679 nucleotides) under Phoenix dactylifera (date palm). RNAcentral describes it as "long non-coding RNA (PDAC_LNC019403)". Lineage: Eukaryota; Viridiplantae; Streptophyta; Magnoliopsida; Arecales; Arecaceae. The record is from RNAcentral.
CGCAGUUACUAUUCAGCCACUGGCGGGGCAGGCCCAAUUCCAAUUCUAGCCACUGCGGGGCAGGCUCAGUUACUAUUCAGCCACUGGCGGGGCAGCUCAGUUACUAUUCAGCCACUGGCGGGGCAAGCUCAGUUACUAUUCAGCCACUGGCGGCUCGGCCAUUCUCAGUAGCAUCUUUGAGCCCAUUAUAGUGCCUCUGGGCUAGCUAAGACUUUAUAAACUUACAUGCAUGAUUAAAAUAUCAGUAUCAUCAUAUCGCAUACAUAGCCAUAGCUUCUGGGUUCAUGCAAGUUACUUAAGCAUUGUAACAUAUCAAGCAUGAAACAUAUAUACUUAAAAGAAAUGCUGAGGAAACAUUAAUAACAUGACAUGAUCCAAAACAGGAUUAGAACAGGUUACUUACAGCAAUUCGUUAUCCAAAGUCUUGGUGGCAAAUCGUUGAUUCCUAAAACCACAUUAUAGGAAUCAUAUUAUUCUCUAUUUAUUAUAGAAUUUGGUUCAUCUUAUCAUGGACUUGCUUGGGUCCCAACCAAGGAUCUUGGCCCAUUUUAAUUUAGCCAAUUUGAAGCCUUUGGUGUUCAUUUAAAGACAUUUGGGUCCAUAUGGUUAAUUGGGCUUUUUAAUGACAGGGUUGGGCCUGAUUUAAACUAAGUCCAGCCUCUUUCAGCCAAUUAGGCCC